UAAAUAGUGAGAACCAAGGUUUGGUCUACUCACAAACCCUGAAAAUCUAAAAGUUCUGCUAAAUCGAAAAUGGCAAAUCCAUCCUCACUUCUGCUAGUGCUAACUCUAACCCCAGUCUAAGCCCGCCACCACUACCACCUUCACCACCACUACCCCAAGACCAAACACCCUCCCUCAUUCUACUGACACCUCUCACACCACAACAUGAAGCCACCAUAGAAACCCCCAUCCUAGCCCCUGCCAUCAAAACCCCUAUUGAAACACCAUUUAUUGAAACCCAAGUUCAAGAACCAAUGCCUCAGCCUGCGCCAACUCAAG
Molecule: unclassified non-coding RNA, 318 nt
Filed under: Hevea brasiliensis (rubber tree)
Lineage: Eukaryota; Viridiplantae; Streptophyta; Magnoliopsida; Malpighiales; Euphorbiaceae
Source: RNAcentral